RNAcentral lists this long non-coding RNA (418 nucleotides) under Rattus norvegicus (Norway rat). RNAcentral's name for it is "long non-coding RNA NONRATT024591". Lineage: Eukaryota; Metazoa; Chordata; Mammalia; Rodentia; Muridae. The record is from RNAcentral.
GAAGGACUUCAUGGUGACCGGGCUUGGUGGGGUGCAGCUGCUCAUUUUGACAGGCUGGAAGAGAGGACCAGGAGAGCAAGCAAAAGGAGGCAGUGGAGACAAGAUCACACUGGCUGCUGUGUGGAGGAAAAUGCAGCAGGGUGAAGCCAUGAGGAGGCCGGUGAAGAAAUAAACCCAGGACCUGUACCACAGCCACUGUGGCCUCACCAGCUGGACUUCAGGAAUCACAAGAAUGGCAACCCAAGGAGAGAAGGAAGGAUAGCCGCCACACCCAGAGCACUGGCUUCUGCUGAGAGCAGAGGCUCUGGGAUGCUGUGCUGUGCUGACCUAAUGUGAGCCCCACAUCUUCUAUUACACAUCUUGUCCACUGCUCAGGGUGAAUGGGGUAGAACAGUCUAGAUUAAAUUUUUAUGCUGAC